GACAGAGGUGCCGAGCGUUAGGCGGAAUCACUGGGCUUAAAGCGUGUGUAGGCGGGCGGGCAAGUACCUUGUGAAAUCCCACGGCUCAACCGUGGAACGGCUGGGUAUACUGCCUGUCUUGAGCCAACUAGGGGCGACCGGAACAAACGGUGGAGCGGUGAAAUGCGUAGAUAUCGUUUGGAACGCCGAUGGUGAAAACAGGUCGCUGGGGUUGUGCUGACGCUGAGACACGAAAGCCAGGGGAGCGAACGGG
This 253-nucleotide ribosomal RNA is filed under the name uncultured bacterium. Its description in RNAcentral is "partial 16S ribosomal RNA". It matches the Rfam family "Bacterial small subunit ribosomal RNA", at positions 524 to 776 of the family's 1533-position model. The record is from RNAcentral.